RNAcentral lists this ribosomal RNA (251 nucleotides) under uncultured bacterium. RNAcentral's name for it is "partial 16S ribosomal RNA". It matches the Rfam family "Bacterial small subunit ribosomal RNA", at positions 524 to 771 of the family's 1533-position model. The record is from RNAcentral.
UACAGAGGGUGCGAGCGUUGUCCGGAAUCACUGGGCGUAAAGGGCGCGUAGGUGGUGGCUUAAGCGUGCGGUGAAAGCUCGGAGCUCAACUCCGAGUCGGCCGUGCGAACUGGGCUCACUGGAGCAUAGUAGAGGCAGGUGGAAUUCCGGGUGUAGCGGUGGAAUGCGUAGAGAUCCGGAAGAACACCGGUGGCGAAGGCGGCCUGCUGGGCGUGAUGGCUGACACUGAGGCGCGACAGCGUGGGGAGCAA